This 546-nucleotide ribosomal RNA is filed under the name uncultured bacterium. RNAcentral describes it as "partial 16S ribosomal RNA". It matches the Rfam family "Bacterial small subunit ribosomal RNA", at positions 355 to 889 of the family's 1533-position model. The record is from RNAcentral.
UGGGGAAUCUUCCGCAAUGGACGAAAGUCUGACGGAGCAACGCCGCGUGUAUGAUGAAGGUCUUCGGAUUGUAAAGUACUGUCAUUGGGGAAGAACGGUUUUCUUGAGAAUAUUGAGAAGACAUGACGGUACCCAAGGAGGAAGCCCCGGCUAACUACGUGCCAGCAGCCGCGGUAAUACGUAGGGGGCAAGCGUUGUCCGGAAUUAUUGGGCGUAAAGGGCGCGUAGGCGGGCCUUUAAGUCCGGUGUGAAAGAUCAGGGCUCAACCCUGAGAGUGCAUCGGAAACUGGAGGCCUUGAGGACAGGAGAGGAAAGUGGAAUUCCACGUGUAGCGGUGAAAUGCGUAGAUAUGUGGAGGAACACCAGUGGCGAAGGCGACUUUCUGGACUGUAACUGACGCUGAGGCGCGAAAAGCGUGGGGAGCAAACAGGAUUAGAUACCCUGGUAGUCCACGCCGUAAACGAUGAGUGCUAGGUGUAGAGGGUAUCGACCCCUUCUGUGCCGCAGUUAACACAAUAAGCACUCCCGCCUGGGGAGUACGGCCGC